CCUACGGGAGGCUGCAGUAGGGAAUAUUGCUCAAUGGGGGAAACCCUGAAGCAGCAACGCCGCGUGGAGGAUGAAGGUUUUCGGAUCGUAAACCCCUUUUGGUAGAGAAGAUAAUGACGGUACCUAACGAAUAAGCACCGGCUAACUCCGUGCCAGCAGCCGCGGUAAUACGGAGGGUGCAAGCGUUAUUCGGAUUCACUGGGCGUAAAGAGCGCGUAGGCGGGAUAGCAAGUCAGAUGUGAAAUCCUAUGGCUUAACCAUAGAACUGCAUUUGAAACUGUUAGUCUAGAGUAUGGGAGAGGUAGGUGGAAUUCUUGGUGUAGGGGUGAAAUGCGUAGAGAUCAGGAGGAAUACUCAUUGCGAAGGCGACCUGCUGGAACAUGACUGACGCUGAGGCGCGAAGGCGUGGGGAGCAAACAGGAUUAGAUACCCGUGUAGUC
This 440-nucleotide ribosomal RNA is filed under the name uncultured bacterium. RNAcentral describes it as "partial 16S ribosomal RNA". It matches the Rfam family "Bacterial small subunit ribosomal RNA", at positions 338 to 795 of the family's 1533-position model. The record is from RNAcentral.